CAGGAGUCUAGGCAUGACUUAGGGUCCUCUGAUCAGAGUCUCAAAAGGUGGCUAUCAAGUUGUCGGUCAGAGCUGGGUUCUUGUACGAGGUCUCCUUUCAACCUCAUGUGGUUGUCAGACAACACUCAAUUCCUUGUAGUCGCAGGAUUUGUGGACUUGCUUCUUCAAAGCCAGCCACAGAGAAAGAACAGCAGGGAAGAUUGAGAAAGUCAGUCUCGAAAAAGCACAAGGUUUAAGAAGGCCUGGAAGGGGAGACCUAGCAAGUUGCCAGUUGAGAAGAGUAAUGGUGUGACCUGGGUGACAGCCAGAUCAAGUUGUCUUAUCAGAGCAGCUGACAGAGAAAACAGCUGAACAGACUAAUCCAAAGCAAAGCCCUUACUGUUGCACUGCUAGCCAACCCAGGCAUACCCAAGUCAAUUAAUAAGCCUAAAGAUAAGGAGCAGGGUGAAAAUUUGGGCGCAAAUUGGAAGACAACUGGAGCAGGGCAGGAGGAAGAACAGAUUCCAUAGUGAUGGUUAUUCUGACCUGUGAUCUUUGUUGAACUGAACUGCUUUCUCUAGACACCAUUGUUACCAAAGGAAAUAACACGUUCUCAGUCUACCUUACUGCUUAUCGGUUGUGUGGGUCACAGGAAUUGGGGGUGAGGGACUGCUUUAAAGGAUCAGGAUCAGGGUGAACAAAAACUACUGAGGCUUCAGUGUCAGUUAUCCCAAAGCCCACAUCGAUUGUGUGAUUCUGUAAAUCCUAAACUAAAUAGGAGCAACCGUCUCUGAUAUUUAUUUUGUGCGACUGUCAACCUCAAAUGCCAUCCUGAAUUCUGUAUAUGACAGUCACCAGCCUGCCUGAUACCUCGUUGAUCGACUUUUCCCCAUGCUACCAAGCCAUGCCAGGUGGACAGAACAAUUCUCCAGGGAAGCCAAGAGCUAUCACUUCCUUUUUCUACCUAAUAUAUUUUGUCCCUGAUAAUCCAUUUGUCAUAUCUGACUUUCUCCUUCCUGCUGGCAGCAACCAGAGACCCUCUCAUUACACGACUGCCAGGUUUGCUUCAGCCUGAACUGCUGCAGAAUUAACUUGUCAUGUCCGCUCCACCAUGGGAACCUGUGGGGAGUCAGAGCCUCAAACAGCUGAAACACCGGAGGGAAAGAUUUCCUGCCUGUCUCACUUCCAUCUACAGCACCAUGGUGCACUCAUUAAGGCGUGGGUUGGAAGGUGCUAUAGACAGAUACGCGCACUGGGAGGAUGGAACCUGCUUUUGAACUUAAAACCAUGAAGACACGUGUUUGUAAGACAUUUUGCACCUUUCAAAAACAUUCUCAGAUGUGAACAGGCCAUAGGGAGGUGAUUAUUUCUCUUUUCACAGAGUUAGUUGCCAUGUUGCAGAGAAAUCUCUGAACUCUAAAUCAGGAGCAUCAGUUUAAGUAAUGUCUCUGCUACUAACCAAUUUAUCAAUCUAUGCAAAGUUACUUAACUUUUCCAAUCCGCAGCUUUUUCAGCUCCAAAAUGAAGGCAAUAAAACCAAUGUUAAAGGCACUUGAUUAAAUGAAGAUAUUAAAUGCUUUAUAAAUUUUGAAGUACUAUACACAUCGAUCCAUUAGGAUGAUUAUACUAUGAAAGCGCAGCUCAAGCUGCAAUGAAGCAUCAGAGAAGGCAGGUAGGGCAGUGGGUGCCCCGGAGUUCUGGUCUCUACUCCUUUUUCUCACUCUGUGGCCUGGGGUGAGUCAUUUAACUUUCUUGUGGAUCCAUUAUUUCAUUUAUAAAACGGAAAAUAAUAAAAACUAUUUUGAGAUUAAUUUUGAGGAUUACAUUAGAUAGUGCAGGUAAAGUAUUCUAGCACACAGGCUAGCAUACCAUAAACCUUCA
RNAcentral lists this long non-coding RNA (1860 nucleotides) under Homo sapiens (human). RNAcentral describes it as "non-protein coding lnc-LARGE1-2:1". The record is from RNAcentral. Lineage: Eukaryota; Metazoa; Chordata; Mammalia; Primates; Hominidae.